This 92-nucleotide ribosomal RNA is filed under the name Aeromonas allosaccharophila. RNAcentral's name for it is "partial 16S ribosomal RNA". It matches the Rfam family "Bacterial small subunit ribosomal RNA", at positions 1448 to 1533 of the family's 1533-position model. RNAcentral also lists the same sequence under 1 other name. The record is from RNAcentral. Lineage: Bacteria; Pseudomonadati; Pseudomonadota; Gammaproteobacteria; Aeromonadales; Aeromonadaceae.
GGGCGUUUACCACGGUGUGAUUCAUGACUGGGGUGAAGUCGUAACAAGGUAACCCUAGGGGAACCUGGGGUUGGAUCACCUCCUUACCUUAA